UCCCCGGUAGCUCAGUGGUAGAGCAACCGGCUGUUAACCGGUUGGUCGCUGGUUCGAAUCCGGCCCGGG
RNAcentral lists this transfer RNA (69 nucleotides) under Mesorhizobium sp. Its description in RNAcentral is "tRNA-Asn". It matches the Rfam family "tRNA". Rfam says of the family: Transfer RNA (tRNA) molecules are approximately 80 nucleotides in length. Their secondary structure includes four short double-helical elements and three loops (D, anti-codon, and T loops). Further hydrogen bonds mediate the characteristic L-shaped molecular structure. tRNAs have two regions of fundamental functional importance: the anti-codon, which is responsible for specific mRNA codon recognition, and the 3' end, to which the tRNAs corresponding amino acid is attached (by aminoacyl-tRNA synthetases). tRNAs cope with the degeneracy of the genetic code in two manners: having more than one tRNA (with a specific anti-codon) for a particular amino acid; and 'wobble' base-pairing, i.e. permitting non-standard base-pairing at the 3rd anti-codon position. Lineage: Bacteria; Pseudomonadati; Pseudomonadota; Alphaproteobacteria; Hyphomicrobiales; Phyllobacteriaceae. The record is from RNAcentral.